Long non-coding RNA from Engraulis encrasicolus (European anchovy), 1507 nucleotides. RefSeq lists it as uncharacterized. The transcript is spliced from 3 exons. The record is from RefSeq and is a predicted model, not a curated record. Lineage: Eukaryota; Metazoa; Chordata; Actinopteri; Clupeiformes; Engraulidae.
CACAAAACUGGAAUGUCCACAUCAGACACCAACACUCAGCUGUUUCACCAUCUUCACUAAUGCGUCGGUUUCAAAUCAAGGACGUGAGCCAUACAGAUCCUCAGCUGUAGGCUGCAUGGCUCCCAUGGAUUUAUUUUCUUGUUUUAAGUUCAUGAAUGAAUGACUGAUUUCAAAUGUUUUGCCAGUGUGGUUCACAUUCUGUGGUAAGUGCGGACUAUGUGAAACUAUUUCGGUUAAUUUAGUUUUUGAAAAGUGAUGUGACAAGUAGCCCCAGCUGUGACAUGCAACUACGUAGGCCUAUAUGCGUUGUUAUUAUUCAGAUCUUUGCUACUUUUAAGCUUCCUGUCUGACCAGGUGUGAUGUUAUGAAAUCAUACUUAUGUUAUUAUUGUCGUAUGCAACUGUAUUGGCAGCUGGACAGACUGUUAUAAAAGACCAGAGAGGCGUGUAUUCUUGUCACUUAUUAGAAACUGUGUGUCUAAGUAGCUUCAUAGCACGGAGGUCAUUGGCAUGAACCAGUUUGUAAAAUCAGAUUUGGUCCUUUUAGCUAAUACUUCGUCUUUGUCUUUUGACCAAGACCCUUUGAUACUGAGGAAAAAGUAGCAUACUGUAUUACUAUGUACUCUUUUGGUUCAGUAUAUGGAAAUACAGUAGUUUCUCUCUGUAAACUAAACAACCCUCAACCAUGACAGAUACAAUACAAGAAUGAAAGUUUAUCAGCUGUAGCAAAACAAUGCCACCAAACAAGACAAGCUGGCAUAACUGUGUAAUCAAACGAGUUGGCAGAGUUGUGUUGUAGGUGAAAGAGUACAUAGUACAGUAGAGAAGAGUCAUCAAUGGGUGUGGCAGUCAUGCUAGAUCAAAAGUGCUGUCUGUCAUUGGCUUAGCUAUAUUCAGUAAACAUUAAUACUACUGUAGCUUUAUGAUCGCAAGUAAAUUCAAGUCAGUUGUUCAAGUUUUAACAGAGACAGCUGACCAAAGUGCUGGACAGGCAGAAUUUCCUAAAGUUAUCAAUAAAUCUCCUUGUGUUCCUUUCAGGUGUGACAGGAUAUGAAUGACGAUGAGGUUGGCCGUGCUGCUUCUGUUUUUUCAUGUGACCUUCACGGGUGAAACAGGUGAAAUUGUGAAACACAAUUUGGUAAACGGCUCCAUUGAACUUAUUGGUGAAGUGCCAAAAGGGAACAUCACCGAAGUUUUAUGGAUGCUUGAAAAGGACAAGGUUGCUGAGUGGGAGAAGGACGGGGAUAAGUCGACUUCAUAUCAGACUUUCAAGUGCACUGCUUCACUCAGCAAAGACACUUGGGCUCUUACUAUCUCUGAGCUAAAAACGACUUGCAGUGGUCGAUACACACUUCGCAUUAAUGAUGUCCCAACAACAUCUAUACACCUAAUUGUUGCAGCACCAAAGAUGAGCACAAAAGAUGCUCCAUUAUGCAACCCUGGCUUUGGGUUCGGGAUGGCAAUUAUUGGAUUUGUAAUUGGAGUGGGAGUCGUGCUUCUUGGGAUGU